This 90-nucleotide transfer RNA is filed under the name Candidatus Latescibacteria bacterium ADurb.Bin168. Its description in RNAcentral is "tRNA-Ser". Lineage: Bacteria; Pseudomonadati; Candidatus Latescibacterota. The record is from RNAcentral.
UCUUCCAUGCCGUAGGAGCGAUAGACGGCGCACCACCGCUGGUAGUGCUCGGGAGUACGCAUCACCGGUUCGAAAUCCAGUUGGAUGUAC